This 3871-nucleotide long non-coding RNA is filed under the name Homo sapiens (human). RNAcentral's name for it is "non-protein coding lnc-TIMP1-4:1". The record is from RNAcentral. Lineage: Eukaryota; Metazoa; Chordata; Mammalia; Primates; Hominidae.
ACGGAAUCCGAGGAGAUCAAAGAAGACUAGGGCGUGCGAGCAGGGGCCGUCUGGCAAUAAACCGGCCAAUGGGGGACUGCAAAAGCGGCGCCUGGAGCCUAUGGAGACCGUUAGAUUUUCAAACAAGAACUUAUAACCCAGCAAGAAUGGGCCUUUGCCUGGAGAAGAAUCCAGACCAUGGGAUGAAUCCCCAAAUGCUAUUUCCAUCUGUAGAGCCUAGAGCACCCACCCCUACCAAGGAAGUCUUCCCAGAUAAUUUGUGUUUCAUAUGUAAAAGCAAGUUUUUUUUUUCAAAUGCUCAAAACCCAAGCAAGUUAAGCCCUUCCUUCCUUCCUUCCUUCCUUUCUUUUCUCUCUCUCUCUCUUUCUUUCUCUCUCUCUCUCUUUCUUUCUUUUUUUUCUUUUUUAGACAGGGUCUGUGUCCCCUAGGCUGGAGUGCAGUGGUAUGAUCAUGACUCAUUGCAGCCUCAACCUCCCAGGCUCAAGUGAUCCUCCCGCUUCAGCCUCUGGAGUACCUGGGACUACUGGCAUACACCACCACGCCCAUCUAAUUUUUAAAAAAGUUUUUGUAGAGACAGAGUCUCACUAUGUUGCCCAGGCUGGUCUCAAACUCCUAGGCUUAAGUGAUUUGCCCACCUCGGCCUCCCAAAAUGCCGAGAUUAUAGGCAUGAGCCAGCACACCUGGCCAAGUUAAGCUUUUCUUUGCCCUUAGAACGAGAUAAUUGUAAAAUGAAAACAUUGAGAUUAGUUUUUUUGGUCUGUAAAUCUCAUGUUACAUAUAGUUUAAAUUACAUUGAGUGUGAUUGGAAUAGAUACUAGGUAGAAAAAUAUUAUCUAGUUAAUCUAUACCACUUUCCUGUGAAAAGAGAGAAAAGAAGACACAUAUUUAUUUAACAGAGAACACAAUUCUGAUGGGCUGGAGAUGAGUCUGUGUAAGUCUAUUAACUUAUAUUUCACAAAAAAGAAUUUUUUACUUAAAAAUGUAUUUCCAACUUUAUUUUUACAUUUCAAACCUACAGAAAAGUUGACAGUGAACACUCAUAUACCCUGCACUUAAGUUCGCCAGUUGUUUUAUUUUGAAUUUUUAAAAUUUUUUUAGAGGCAGGGUCUUGCUCUCUUGCCUAGGCUAGAAUGCAGUGGUGUGAUCUCGGUUCACUGCAACCUCUGCCACCGGGCUCAAGCAAUCCUCCCGCCUAAGCCUCCUGCAUAGCUGGGACUACAGGCAUGAGCCACCAUGCCCAGCUAAUUUUUUGUAGAAAUGGGGUUUCACCAUGUUGCCCAGGCUGGUCUCGAAUGCCUGAGCUCAAUCAGUUCGCCUAACUCGGCCUCCCAGGGUGCUGGGAUUACAGGCGUGAGCCACCAUGCCCGGCCUGGAUUCACUCGUUGUUAAUAUUUGAUCACAUUUGCUUUCUUUCCAGACCAUAGGAUAAUUGUUGACAUGGCUGCAUAGCAUUCCAUUCUUUGGAUGGCCUCAGAUUUUUGAGCCACUCCUCUGUCACUGGAUAUUUGAAUGUGUUCAGAUAUUUUCGUUGUUAUAACCAGGAUGGGAUAAGUCUUUGCUGUCAAAUUUUUGUGCGGAGCCAUGAUUAUUUCCUUGUGAUAAAUUCCUAGAAGUAGAAUUUAUAGAUUUUUUUUGAGACAGAGUCUCACUUUGUUGCCAAGGCUGGAGUGUAGUGGUGUGAUCUCUGCUCAUGGCAACCUCUGCCUCCUGGUUUCAAGUGAUUCUUCUGCUUCAGCCUCUGGAGUAGCUAGGACUACGGGCACACACUACCAUGCCGCCUAGCUAAUUUUUGUAUUUUUAAUAGACACAGGGUUUCACCAUGUUGGCCAGGCUGGUCUCGAACUUGUGGCCUCAAGUGAUCUGCCCACCUCGGCCUCCCAGGGCGCUGGGAUUACAGGCAUGAGCCACCUCACCCGGCUGAAUUUAUGGAUUUAAAGGAGGUCACUGCAUUGUAAAUCAAGUGUUGAGUGACAGUGGUACGCAUAACAGUGAACCUCCUCAUCUAAGCUCUAUAUCAGGGGUCAGCAAAUUAUGGCCCCUGGUUUGCUGACCCUUUACAGUUUCCUAUAGCCUGCAAACUAGGAAUACUAUUUACAUCUUUAAAGGGCUUUAGAAAAGUAAAACUAAUAUUUUGUGACACAUCAAAAUUAUAUGAAAUUUGCAUUUUAGUGUCCAUUAAUAAAAUUUUCUUGGAACACAAGUCUCACUCAUGCGUUUACAUAUUGUCUGUUACUGCUUUCACGCUAUAAUGGCAGAGUUGAGUAGUUGCCAAAGAGACCACAUGGUAUGGACAUCCUAAAGUAUUUACUAUCUGGCCUUUUACAGAAAAGGUUUGCCAACCCCUGCUCUGUACAAUGCCUGUCACCAAUACAGAGGUUGGGGCUCUAACCAGGUGGGUCUCCCUGGCUUCCACUGGCGACCUCUUAACCUGGCUUAUGGGUGCACAUUUUCAGGCUGGUGCUUCUGGGAGAUAUGAGAGACACAGUCAGCUUGUUUCCAGCUCCAAGAUGUGAGAUGGACUGUGUCUCUUAUGUCUGCAUUUGAAUCUUCUCUCCUUUCCAUCCAACUUCCUGCCCCCAGCUCUGACUCAUAGGUCUCUGUCUUUGCCUUUUCCCAAGAAGAGCAAGAAAUGACUAAGGCCCAGGGGAGGCUGCAUUUCCCUGAUAGCUAAUGAUGUAGAACAUCUUGCCAUGUGCUUAUUUGUCAUCUACAUGUCCUUUAUGGUGAAAUGUCUCUUCACAUUCUUUGCUCAUUUACCAAAUGGAUUGCUUAAAAAAAAAAAAAACUUGAGUUUUGAGAGUUCCUUACAUAUUCUAGGUAUGAGUUCUUUGUCAGAUAUGUGGUUUGCAAAUAUUUCCUCCCAGGCUGUAGUUUGUCUUUUUGUCCUCUUAACAAGGUCUUUGUUAGAGCAAACACAUUUAAUUUUGAAGUCUAGUUUAUUGAUUUAAAAACAUUUUUUGGAUCAUGCUUUUGUUGUUGUGUCUAAGAACUCUUCACAAGCCGUAGCUCCCAAAGACGUUCUCCUGUGUUUUAUUUUUAAAGUUUUUUAAUUUUAUGUUUGACAUUUAAAUCUGUGAUCUGUUUUUAAAAAACAGCUUUAUUGAGAUGUAAUUCACAUACAAUAAAACCCACACAUUUGAAGUUUACAGUUCAGCAGUUUUUAAUAUAUUCACAGAGUUGUACAAACAUCACCACAAUCUAACUUUAUUUUUUUAAUAAUUUUUUUUUUUUUGAGACAGGGUCUCACGCUGUCACCCAGGCUGGAGUGCAGUGGUAGGAUCUUGGCUCACUACAGCCUCAACCUCUCAAACGCAAGCGAUCCUCCCUGCCUCACCCCCUCAAGUAGCUGAGACUAUAGGCAUGUGCCACCACGCCGGCUAAGUUUUGUAUUUUUUGUAGAGAUGGGGUUCCACUGUGUUACCCAGGCAGGUCUUGAACUCCUGAGCUCAUUCGAUCCACCCACCUCGGCCUCCCGAAGUACUGGGAUUACAGGCGUGAGGCACCACGCCCAGCAAUCUAGAGUAUUUUCAUCACCCCAAAUAGAACUCCUGUACCCACUCCUCAGUGUGUUCUCCCCACCCCAGCCCUAAGCAACCACAAAUUUAAUUUCAUCUGUAAAAAUUUUUGUAUUCUGCACAUUUCAAUAAAUAGAAUCAUAUACACUAUGUGGCCUUUUAUGCCUGGCUUCUUUCACUUAGUAUAAUGUUUUUAAGUUUCAUUUGUCCAUGUUAUAAUACUUAUUAGUACUUUAUUCCUUUCUAGGGCUGAAUAAUAGUCCCUUGUGCAUAUAUGCCACAUUUUGUUUAUUUCUCUUACCAAUUUCAGUAAAAUGUAAAGUCCUUACUCCUUUUAAGUCCCUUUUCCUCCCCCU